CGGUAACAUUUCUAGCUUGCUAGAAGAUGACGAGUGGCGGACGGGUGAGUAAUACUUAGGAAUAUGCCUUUGUGUGGGGGAUAACCAUUGGAAACGAUGGCUAAUACCGCAUAACGUCUUCGGACCAAAGGGGGCCUUGGCUCCCGCGCAAAGAGUAGCCUAAGCGAGAUUAGCUUGUUGGUGAGGUAAAGGCUCACCAAGGCGACGAUCUCUAGCUGUUCUGAGAGGAAGAUCAGCCACACUGGAACUGAGACACGGUCCAGACUCCUACGGGAGGCAGCAGUGGGGAAUAUUGCACAAUGGGGGGAACCCUGAUGCAGCCAUGCCGCGUGUGUGAAGAAGGCCUUCGGGUUGUAAAGCACUUUCAGUUGUGAGGAAAGGUUAACGGUUAAUACCCGUUAGCUGUGACGUUAGCAACAGAAGAAGGACCGGCUAACUCCGUGCCAGCAGCCGCGGUAAUACGGAGGGUCCGAGCGUUAAUCGGAAUUACUGGGCGUAAAGCGCACGCAGGCGGUUUGUUAAGCUAGAUGUGAAAGCCCUGGGCUCAACCUGGGAAUUGCAUUUAGAACUGGCAGGCUAGAGUUUUGGAGAGGGGAGUGGAAUUCCAGGUGUAGCG
This 616-nucleotide ribosomal RNA is filed under the name uncultured bacterium. Its description in RNAcentral is "bacterial SSU rRNA". It matches the Rfam family "Bacterial small subunit ribosomal RNA", at positions 67 to 680 of the family's 1533-position model. The record is from RNAcentral.